AGAGUUUGAUUUCUGGCUCAGGACGAACGCUGGCGGCGUGCCUAAUACAUGCAAGUCGAACGCUUUUUCUUUCACCGGAGCUUGCUCCACCGAAAGAAAAAGAGUGGCGAACGGGUGAGUAACACGUGGGUAACCUGCCCAUCAGAAGGGGAUAACACUUGGAAACAGGUGCUAAUACCGUAUAACACUAUUUUCCGCAUGGAAGAAAGUUGAAAGGCGCUUUUGCGUCACUGAUGGAUGGACCCGCGGUGCAUUAGCUAGUUGGUGAGGUAACGGCUCACCAAGGCAACGAUGCAUAGCCGACCUGAGAGGGUGAUCGGCCACACUGGGACUGAGACACGGCCCAGACUCCUACGGGAGGCAGCAGUAGGGAAUCUUCGGCAAUGGACGAAAGUCUGACCGAGCAACGCCGCGUGAGUGAAGAAGGUUUUCGGAUCGUAAAACUCUGUUGUUAGAGAAGAACAAGGAUGAGAGUAAAAUGUUCAUCCCUUGACGGUAUCUAACCAGAAAGCCACGGCUAACUACGUGCCAGCAGCCGCGGUAAUACGUAGGUGGCAAGCGUUGUCCGGAUUUAUUGGGCGUAAAGCGAGCGCAGGCGGUUUCUUAAGUCUGAUGUGAAAGCCCCCGGCUCAACCGGGGAGGGUCAUUGGAAACUGGGAGACUUGAGUGCAGAAGAGGAGAGUGGAAUUCCAUGUGUAGCGGUGAAAUGCGUAGAUAUAUGGAGGAACACCAGUGGCGAACGCGGCUCUCUGGUCUGUAACUGACGCUGAUGCUCGAAAGCGUGGGGAGCGAACAGGAUUAGAUACCCUGCUAGUCCACGCCGUAAACGAUGAGUGCUAAGUGUUGGAGGGUUUCCGCCCUUCAGUGCUGCAGCAAACGCAUUAAGCACUCCGCCUGGGGGAGUACGACCGCACGAUGAAACUCAAAGGAAUUGACGGGGGCCCGCACAAGCGGUGGAGCAUGUGCUUUAACUCGAAGCACGCGAAGAACCGUACCAGGUCAUGACAUCGUUUGAUCCACUCUAGAGAUAGAGCUCCCUUCGGGGUCAAGCUGACAGUGUGCAUGAUGUCGUCAGGCUCGUGUCGUGAAAUGUGGCUAGUCCCGCACCGAAGGCGCAACCCUUUAUUGUUUAGUUGCAGA
RNAcentral lists this ribosomal RNA (1140 nucleotides) under uncultured Enterococcus sp. RNAcentral's name for it is "bacterial SSU rRNA". It matches the Rfam family "Bacterial small subunit ribosomal RNA", at positions 8 to 1121 of the family's 1533-position model. Lineage: Bacteria; Bacillati; Bacillota; Bacilli; Lactobacillales; Enterococcaceae. The record is from RNAcentral.